Molecule: long non-coding RNA, 248 nt
Organism: Dicentrarchus labrax (European seabass)
Lineage: Eukaryota; Metazoa; Chordata; Actinopteri; Moronidae
Exons: 2
Source: RefSeq, a predicted model, not a curated record
AGCCAACGAGGCUCCAGCAGAACAACAUCCUGCACCGUCUCGCUCUGCAUGAUGUUGAUCUGUGGGAGGAGGAAGGAAAUGAAUGAGGAGGAAAGAUGGUGAGAGAGGAAGAGGACAGGAAACAAGGACUACACACAGUCUGCUUUGAAGCAGAUGAACAAACACCCACCUCCCCCAUGCUGUGGAGCUGCAGGGCUAGUGUGCGGAGAUGGUCCUGGCUGACCAGAGGGUUGAUGUGCUCCUGGACG